GCUGAAAGCAAGACCUGCGGACUCCUUGAGACAUGAGUAGGCAUGCGCGGGGAUUACAUAGGUUGGAACCUUGUCCCUGUAGUGCUGGACGUGGCCAUGGUGGUGACAGCAGCUCCACUCUCACAUUUCCAUUUGGCAUUGCCACAGUGAGGGCCCUGCGCUGGAUCUGCUCCUGGAACAGGGCAUCGUCUUCCAAGACUUCUGGACUCUGGAAUUGGAAACCUGACCUUUGAUCUCUGGCAGGGUCCUAGUUCCGGUUAUAGGCUCCAGGGUAGUGCACUGCGCUUGGCUGACCAGAUCUCUGCAUCUAACCCUGUCUCUUACACCUGCACUUAGCACCCUGGUAUGACAACCUACUGACCUCAACCAGUCAGAAAAGAGGAACUCAGGGCAGCUUUAUUGAUAAAUGCCUUCAGAUAACUCUAAGCUCUUCAGGACUGCAUGCUUAUCUCCAAAAGAUGUCUGAUUUCCUUCAAACACUGCUUUGUACUUGGCACUCCCGCCCCAUUCCCUCAAAUUAAAAUUCUCCAAUUUCUAGGGGCCCUCCCCUCCCAAAAAAUCCUUAGCUUGGUAUAAAGUUUCUCUACCCAUUAGAUGGGACCUGCCUGUCACGUACCUGGUGCG
This is a long non-coding RNA of Ochotona curzoniae (black-lipped pika), 624 nucleotides long. RefSeq lists it as uncharacterized. Lineage: Eukaryota; Metazoa; Chordata; Mammalia; Lagomorpha; Ochotonidae. The transcript has 3 exons. The record is from RefSeq and is a predicted model, not a curated record.